UAAUACAGAGGUGGCAAGCGUUGUUCGGAAUUACUGGGCGUAAAGGGCGCGUAGGCGGUUUCGUAAGUCCCGUGUGAAAGCCCCCGGCUCAACUGGGGAACUGCACGGGAAACUGCGAGGCUUGAGUUCGGGAGAGGGAAGCGGAAUUCCGGGUGUAGCGGUGAAAUGCGUAGAUAUCCGGAGGAACACCGGUGGCGAAGGCGGCUUCCUGGACCGACACUGACGCUGAGGCGCGAAAGCUAGGGGAGCAAACGGGAUUAGAUACCCCGGUAGUCCUAGCUGUAAACGAUGAGUGCUGGGUGUAGGGGGUGUUAACCCCUCCUGUGCCGAAGCUAACGCAUUAAGCACUCCGCCUGGGGAGUACGGUCGCAAGGCUG
This 377-nucleotide ribosomal RNA is filed under the name uncultured bacterium. Its description in RNAcentral is "bacterial SSU rRNA". It matches the Rfam family "Bacterial small subunit ribosomal RNA", at positions 521 to 896 of the family's 1533-position model. The record is from RNAcentral.